CUACGGGAGGCAGCAGUGGGGAAUAUUGGACAAUGGGGGAAACCCUGAUCCAGCAAUGCCGCGUGUGUGAAGAAGGCCUUAGGGUUGUAAAGCACUUUCAGUAGUGAGGAAAAGUUUAAGGCUAAUACCCUUGAACCCUGACGUUAACUACAGAAGAAGCACCGGCUAACUUCGUGCCAGCAGCCGCGGUAAUACGAAGGGUGCAAGCGUUAAUCGGAUUUACUGGGCGUAAAGCGCGCGUAGGCGGUUUGAUAAGUCGGAUGUGAAAGCCCCGGGCUCAACCUGGGAAUUGCAUUCGAUACUGUCAGGCUAGAGUAUGGUAGAGGGAAGUGGAAUUCCACAUGUAGCGGUGAAAUGCGUAGAUAUGUGGAGGAACACCAGUGGCGAAGGCGACUUCCUGGCCCAAUACUGACGCUGAGGUGCGAAAGCGUGGGGAGCAAACAGGAUUAGAUACCCUAGUAGUC
RNAcentral lists this ribosomal RNA (464 nucleotides) under uncultured bacterium. RNAcentral's name for it is "partial 16S ribosomal RNA". It matches the Rfam family "Bacterial small subunit ribosomal RNA", at positions 339 to 795 of the family's 1533-position model. The record is from RNAcentral.